Molecule: RNA transcript, 2966 nt
Organism: Hevea brasiliensis (rubber tree)
Lineage: Eukaryota; Viridiplantae; Streptophyta; Magnoliopsida; Malpighiales; Euphorbiaceae
Exons: 3
Source: RefSeq, a predicted model, not a curated record
ACAAAGCUUUUGUUCAGACAAAGAAACAGAGAAGAAAAACUUAGCAGAAACAUCAUACCCAAAAAGGAUCCACCAAGAACUUCAACUAUGCAAGCGAAAGAUGAACAACCAAAUUACAAAAUAAAACUUGGACUAAAUUUUACUCUUUGCACUAAAUUAAAAUUUAAUAAAGAAAAUAAUCCACGCUGCCCUCAAUCCAAACAGUAUAUUACUCGUUCUCCCUCUCACGGCUGCUCCCCCGACUGGACAGUCUCCCGCCUACUCCACUGGCUCCCCUUACCAAGAUCAUCCUAAUCGAGUAGGUACUCACAAUGGAAGCUUCCACUGCGACGAGGCUCAGGUUCUCCAACGCCGAAAUUGCUCGUUCCCGCUACCUUCAGGUUCCAAGAAGCCCGACCCUUUUUAUACUAAUUUGCAAUAGCAGCUUUGGUGGUCCUUUUACAUAUUUACAUUAGCGACUAUGGAAGCAUGAUUCUUUUUUUCUUCUGCAAAUGUUUUAACUUUGCAAGGACAAAAAAAAAAAAAAAAACCACCUUUGAAUCCAUAUGAAGAGGGAUUUAACUGCUUAGAGAGUUUAGUUCUUGCAAAGAAUUUUCCCACAUGCUUUUUCGGUGUUUGUGAUGAAAUAUUGAAAUGCAUACUAAUUUUCUCCCUUCGUAGCGGGCAAACAAGAAUUUAGCUUGCAGUUUGUGCUUUAUUGAAGGUUGUAUGAGAUUUAAUGGCGAAAUGUGGGUGUUAGAUGGUCUGGAUGCUGUGAAUGAUGUCGGGGGCGCUUAUGAUCCAAGUCGUGACCGAUAUGAUCACCAUCAGAAGGGAUUUUAGGAGGUGUUUGGACAUGGGUUCACUACCAAGUUUAGUAGUGCUGGUCUUGUUUAUAAGAUAGUCCUUUCUGAGAAAAAGAGAAGGGCACUUUGGGAAGGAGAUAAUAGCUAAGGAGCUUCAGGUUGAUGAAGGGCACCCAGAUGUGCAUCGGUCGUUCUUGGCUGUUUACAAAAGCUUCAUGGAGGUGCUAACUUCUGUUCAGUUUUGGUAGAUAAUCAGACAUAUAUUAUUGAUGCGAAGUCCAAUUGUGAGUUUUCAAAUGUGAUUAGUGAUCUUGUUGAGAAAAUGGUAAAGACAAAUUAAGUAUAUUUUGUCUCCAUUAGUUUAUUUUUAUGAAAAAAAAAAUAUUAAAAUUUUGUCCCCCUGAACUAAAAUCCUGGCUUUGCCCCUGUCCAUACCUGUUCUCCUAAUAUAAUGUUAUUUACAUGUCUUCAUGCUUGACCUUAAAUGAUUAGACAUAUAUUACCUGUACCAUUCACAGUUCUGAUAGUUUUGCUUCAAGUUAGAUUCUUAAUUUAACUUCUCCAACUUUGGCUCAUCCCCCCCUUUAUUUGUGGACAUUUUGUUUUCCUUCUGCGGGCAAUUUAUGCCAUUGACAAUGGAAUCAAUCAGUAUGAUACAGACCAGCCUCCAAGAUAUGUGAAUAAUACACAUUUGUCUUCAAGGGUUGGGAGAUUGAAUUUGGAUUGGAUACAGCCUGAGCAAUCACCUGAGAAGGAGAACAAGACCUUCCAAAAAGCAAUGGCUCUGGCUGGCAGUGAGUUUUUAGAUAGUGUUCGAUAUCAUGCAAGGUCUUGGUCACUGUCACAGUCAAUUGUAAUGGAGUGUCCUGCAGCUAGAUUUGAUGUUGACCCUGGUGGUGAAAUUAUGGUUUUGGAUACAUUUUGUCUUGUAAGUAUACUGUGCAGCGUCUGCGGUCUUUAUUAUGUACUGCAAAGAUUCUAGUUAUGCUAUCAAUAAUGUUGCUUUAUUUAUCACUUUCAUUUGUUUAUGUGGGUAUAUCACUGCAAUUUAUCAUAUGUGCAACCAAACUGCUUAAAACCUAGAGAGGUAGGGCAGAACAUUUGGUUUUUUCUUGAUAUCAAAGAGUUGUGGCACAUGUGAUCUGAAAAAAAUGCAAGUAAUGGAUUUUGGCAUGUGUGUUUCUGUUUAGUGGAUGGAAGUUUUUGGCUGAUAUUGGUGGUUCUUUAAUGGGUCUGGUUCUGGCCAGAAAAUUAUAAUUAGUUUUUUUUUCCUGCAGUGGAAAUUUCAUUUAUUUGAGCUUUAGGAGGAACUGAAUACUGACCCUUCAAUUAAAUAUGUUCUUUAUCAGAUGCAUUCGUGUUUGUGCAUAACUUGUUUAAUUCACCUAUCAGAUUUUUCUCUUAGUGUUUACAAUGUAAAAUUACUUUUUGCAAAUAUCAGAACAUUAGAAUGUCUUUUGAAGGGCACUCUUUCCUUCUUGGUAUUUUAGUGCAUGUGUUUCUGGAGGACAAUAUUUUGCUUUAGUCACUGUCCUGUUAUUUGGUCAUUUUUACACAAAAGAAAACCAGAUUGCCUCUCAAAUAUUUUCUAUCAACUGAUGUUUCCUUUAGGGUAUAAUGAGGAUGAGGUACUUAAUUUUAAAAAGAAUUCAGAUGUAGCCAUUCUUUACCUUCCCCCUCUCUCUUCUCCUUGGAAAAUGAAAAUAAAGUUUGUCUCGGAUGAGCUUUCAGAAGUCUCAACACCAAUAAAUAUACAGGCUGACAGGAGCGAACAUUGGCGAGUGCAGGCAGUGGUGAUAGCUCCAGAUAGAUUUGAAAGCCGGAGGCCUCUACCAGCUCACUGGCGAGGGCUGAGGGUUAACGAGCUGUCAAAGAGAGUCUGGAAUCCCUGGUUCUGUUUUUGUCCAUAUGAGCGGAUUCACAGGUGGAAAUCAAACUUAUGAGGGAGCUCUGACCAUGUCAAGAACCGCACUGAAAACAGAGAAGAAUGGAUUAUCACAUUGCUGUCACGAUCAAAGGAAAAUUCCAGAUUUUUUUGCUGGACCUGAAUGAAUUCAUUACUUUGUGUUGUUUUCAUUUUUCUGCCAAUGGGGUAGGUAGCUCUGCAGUCAACUUAUUAUUGAGAUGUUAUAAUUGGCAUUCAUUCAUAUAAGAACUACUGACAUUUUAUUCUAACAUCUA